Long non-coding RNA from Hyla sarda, 1715 nucleotides. RefSeq lists it as uncharacterized. NCBI's taxonomy places the organism in Eukaryota, Metazoa, Chordata, Amphibia, Anura, Hylidae. The transcript has 3 exons. The record is from RefSeq and is a predicted model, not a curated record.
GCCAAAGUUGUAAAUAAUGCCCAGCUUCAUUUCAUUGUCUGAAUCCAAUUUCAUAGUAACAGAGGAACACAGGUAGUCAAUUAUAUUGCUACUCCAAAGGUCUGAGCAUUCAAAGCAGUCAGAAUAUGAUUAUUCCUGUCUUCUUAGCUUCAUCUGCAAGACAGCUCAUAUGUGAAAAAAAGGGGGAGGACCCCAGAAAUGUUAUAAGGCAGGAGGAUGCCUCGAAUGAGGGCUCACACAGCAUGUUUUGUAUAUGCUGAUGCAAUGAUUUUUCCAUUGGAUUUACAAAAGUAGCGUUGGGAGGAAAGUUGAGUGACUGCAGCCCCAUACAGGCUUUCCACGCACAAAUUGGGCAUCCGCCGACAGAAGACGUCUCGGCCUUUGGGGUCGAACCUACCAUUAUUUGGUGCUCGAACAGGGACCUGCUGCCGAAUCACAAGGAGCAUCUCAACUACAGUGCGGGACCACUACGGCUCGGGCCUCCGGAGACCCCAGAUUGAAAUCACCUGGCCAGAUUGACAUCACACCUGAAACACUCUUCCUGGUGAGGAUGCCGGCCCAUUACUCAGGGGACGGAGCAUAUUUAAGAAGACUUGGUUCCCUCAGACAACUCGCGGUCUGGGAUAGUACCUGAGGAAAGACCUGCUAUACACCUGACCUGGAGGAUCCAGUUCUUUCAGAUGAUGUCAAAGGGGGAAAUGAUGGAAUUGGGUAGAGGAGACAACAUGGAGUCUCUAUUACAUUUCAUAUUCUCGGUCUAAGUGACUGCAUUCUAUCUUUCUUGUUUUUUUCUACAUAACUAACUUCUGAACUUUUGAACUAAGAGACAAUGGGUACCUUAUCUUCAAGAAUGCAGACACUCUUAUCUUUUUUCUAUCCCAGAUGUGUCCUUGAAACAGUGGUUCAUUAUAUUUGAGCUUAAGCAAUGUAUAUUUUGUAUCUAACUUUCUUCUGCGAAAGAUUUAGGGUUUUCCUGUGUUUGUACAAUGUAGAGUUUACUGCGCAUGCCUAAUUGAAAGUGGGCUAUAUAAAAUACUCUUGAAAAGAGGGCUAGGCCAGUUCUGCCUUCAGCUUACAGAGACAACACUUGUGUUUGUAUCGUGAUUUUGAAUGGCAGGUAGCGUUGGGAGGAAAGUUGGAUGACUGCAGCCCCAUACAGGCUUUCCAUGCACAAAUUGGGCAUCCGCUGACAGAAGACGUCUCGGCCUUUGGGGUCGAACCUAACACUCAUGCUGCUAUACUCUCUUAGCUAAAUCAUGGACCAGCUCAGUGAGACCCUGCAGUUGCUCCACCAGAGCAGACAUAGCUUCCAUAUUGCUGGUGCAGAGCAGAUGCAGGAAGUGGGCUUGGGAAAAUGUCACGUAUGGGCAGAGAUUGAGUUCUCUCUUGCUCUCACCUAAAACCACUGUCCCUGCUUAUUGCAUAGUCGUCCUAGAUGAACAGGACCAUUUGAAGGAAUUUGGGGGCCGCAAGCAAAAUAGACAUGGAGUAGACCCCCACCCCCUCCCCACCUUACGCACGCAAAAAAUAUUAUAUAUACAGGACCAUAUAGAGAUUAUAUACCAGCUGUACACAGGAUAUAUACCCCAUAUAAGUGUUUACAGCUACAUGAAGGAAAUCACAGGUCACGUCUUUUCUGAUCAGCGUCGUCCUCUUUCCUUUUCUUCCCCGUCCGGCUGAGACUGCCAUGAUGUCUUCUUCCAGCCAAAACUUCA